This 750-nucleotide transfer RNA is filed under the name Bradyrhizobium sp. SEMIA 6156. Its description in RNAcentral is "partial contains 16S-23S ribosomal RNA intergenic spacer and 23S ribosomal RNA". The stretch from base 152 to 225 matches the Rfam family "tRNA". The record is from RNAcentral. Lineage: Bacteria; Pseudomonadati; Pseudomonadota; Alphaproteobacteria; Hyphomicrobiales; Nitrobacteraceae.
CGUUUUAGAAACAUCAGUGGCCAACAGAUCGCCAGAUCGUUGAGCUGCAUUGGCGGGAUUUCGCCGUCUUCGUUUCUCUUUCUUCGCGGACGAACACGCGCUGGGCCUGCAAGUUUGCAGAAUCCCUGGUCCUUAACAGGAUAUGCGUUAGGGGCUUGUAGCUCAGUUGGUUAGAGCGCGCGCUUGAUAAGCGUGAGGUCGGAAGUUCAAGUCUUCCCAGGCCCACCACUUUCAUCGAGUGAGCAUUCGUCUUCUGGUUACGGGGCCAUAGCUCAGCUGGGAGAGCGCGUGCUUUGCAAGCAUGAGGUCGUCGGUUCGAUCCCGUCUGGCUCCACCAGAUGGUUUGAUCACCGAGAUCUUGUACCGUCGUCCGCGAAACAUCACUCCGCACUUACUAGUCUGGAUAGACAGUAAGCUGCGUGAUUUCUGACAUCGUAAAGAGGAGAUCGAUCCGAGUUGGAUCGUGCGGCAAGCAAUUGCCACGCGAGACUUCAUUAUCUCCGGAUCAUUUUCGGCGCUCGACGCUGACCGCAAGGUUGGCUGCGAGUUGUAAAAUGAUCCUUUUAGCGAAGCUUGACCGCCUCGCUAUCGGAACGAUCUUACGAAGCAAGCUGGUCUUUCUAGUCAAUGUCCGGCUGUACGUAGCAUUCAUCGAGGGUGCGUGCCGCAAGGCAAUCGUACAGACAACAUUCUGCCGAGUGUGUGGACAUUGAUAAUGAGAGCAAUCAAGUGCCUUAAGGGUGUUCGGUG